CAGCCGCCGCGGGAAUACGAAGGGUGCAAGCGUUACUCGGAAUUACUGGGCGUAAAGCGUGUGUAGGUGGUUGUUUAAGUCUGUCGUGAAAGCCCUGGGCUCAACCUGGGAAUUGCGAUGGAUACUGGGCGACUAGAGUGCGGUAGAGGAUAGUGGAAUUUCCGGUGUAGCAGUGAAAUGCGUAGAGAUCGGAAGGAACAUCUGUGGCGAAGGCGACUAUCUGGGCCAACACUGACACUGAGACACGAAAGCGUGGGGAGCAAACAGGAUUAGAUACCCCCGUAGUCCCUGUCUCUUAUAC
RNAcentral lists this ribosomal RNA (301 nucleotides) under uncultured bacterium. Its description in RNAcentral is "partial 16S ribosomal RNA". It matches the Rfam family "Bacterial small subunit ribosomal RNA", at positions 509 to 807 of the family's 1533-position model. The record is from RNAcentral.